RNAcentral lists this unclassified non-coding RNA (197 nucleotides) under fungal sp. RNAcentral's name for it is "partial internal transcribed spacer region". The stretch from base 1 to 46 matches the Rfam family "Eukaryotic small subunit ribosomal RNA", at positions 1786 to 1831 of the family's 1831-position model. The record is from RNAcentral. Lineage: Eukaryota; Fungi.
AAGUCGUAACAAGGUUUCCGUAGGUGAACCUGCGGAAGGAUCAUUACAAAUCCAAGUCAAGUCUAUUGACAAGUUGAAAUGUGUGUGUGUGUGUGAGAGAGAGAAUAUAUUUCCACACAAAAACUUCAUACAUCAGUUGAACAACAAAUAACAAAUAUUCUUUUACACAACUUGUAACAAUGGAUCUCUAGGCUCUU